The sequence is a transfer RNA, 86 nucleotides long. It matches the Rfam family "tRNA". Rfam says of the family: Transfer RNA (tRNA) molecules are approximately 80 nucleotides in length. Their secondary structure includes four short double-helical elements and three loops (D, anti-codon, and T loops). Further hydrogen bonds mediate the characteristic L-shaped molecular structure. tRNAs have two regions of fundamental functional importance: the anti-codon, which is responsible for specific mRNA codon recognition, and the 3' end, to which the tRNAs corresponding amino acid is attached (by aminoacyl-tRNA synthetases). tRNAs cope with the degeneracy of the genetic code in two manners: having more than one tRNA (with a specific anti-codon) for a particular amino acid; and 'wobble' base-pairing, i.e. permitting non-standard base-pairing at the 3rd anti-codon position.
GCCGGGUUGGUGGAAUCGGCAGACACGGCGCCCUCAAAAGGCGUUGCCCUCUGGGCGUGCGGGUUCAAGUCCCGCACCCGGCACCA